This 1442-nucleotide ribosomal RNA is filed under the name Salmonella enterica. Its description in RNAcentral is "partial 16S ribosomal RNA". It matches the Rfam family "Bacterial small subunit ribosomal RNA". RNAcentral also lists the same sequence under 1 other name. Lineage: Bacteria; Pseudomonadati; Pseudomonadota; Gammaproteobacteria; Enterobacterales; Enterobacteriaceae. The record is from RNAcentral.
AGUGGCGGACGGGUGAGUAAUGUCUGGGAAACUGCCUGAUGGAGGGGGAUAACUACUGGAAACGGUGGCUAAUACCGCAUAACGUCGCAAGACCAAAGAGGGGGACCUUCGGGCCUCUUGCCAUCAGAUGUGCCCAGAUGGGAUUAGCUUGUUGGUGAGGUAACGGCUCACCAAGGCGACGAUCCCUAGCUGGUCUGAGAGGAUGACCAGCCACACUGGAACUGAGACACGGUCCAGACUCCUACGGGAGGCAGCAGUGGGGAAUAUUGCACAAUGGGCGCAAGCCUGAUGCAGCCAUGCCGCGUGUAUGAAGAAGGCCUUCGGGUUGUAAAGUACUUUCAGCGGGGAGGAAGGUGUUGUGGUUAAUAACCGCAGCAAUUGACGUUACCCGCAGAAGAAGCACCGGCUAACUCCGUGCCAGCAGCCGCGGUAAUACGGAGGGUGCAAGCGUUAAUCGGAAUUACUGGGCGUAAAGCGCACGCAGGCGGUCUGUCAAGUCGGAUGUGAAAUCCCCGGGCUCAACCUGGGAACUGCAUUCGAAACUGGCAGGCUUGAGUCUUGUAGAGGGGGGUAGAAUUCCAGGUGUAGCGGUGAAAUGCGUAGAGAUCUGGAGGAAUACCGGUGGCGAAGGCGGCCCCCUGGACAAAGACUGACGCUCAGGUGCGAAAGCGUGGGGAGCAAACAGGAUUAGAUACCCUGGUAGUCCACGCCGUAAACGAUGUCUACUUGGAGGUUGUGCCCUUGAGGCGUGGCUUCCGGAGCUAACGCGUUAAGUAGACCGCCUGGGGAGUACGGCCGCAAGGUUAAAACUCAAAUGAAUUGACGGGGGCCCGCACAAGCGGUGGAGCAUGUGGUUUAAUUCGAUGCAACGCGAAGAACCUUACCUGGUCUUGACAUCCACAGAACUUUCCAGAGAUGGAUUGGUGCCUUCGGGAACUGUGAGACAGGUGCUGCAUGGCUGUCGUCAGCUCGUGUUGUGAAAUGUUGGGUUAAGUCCCGCAACGAGCGCAACCCUUAUCCUUUGUUGCCAGCGGUCCGGCCGGGAACUCAAAGGAGACUGCCAGUGAUAAACUGGAGGAAGGUGGGGAUGACGUCAAGUCAUCAUGGCCCUUACGACCAGGGCUACACACGUGCUACAAUGGCGCAUACAAAGAGAAGCGACCUCGCGAGAGCAAGCGGACCUCAUAAAGUGCGUCGUAGUCCGGAUUGGAGUCUGCAACUCGACUCCAUGAAGUCGGAAUCGCUAGUAAUCGUGGAUCAGAAUGCCACGGUGAAUACGUUCCCGGGCCUUGUACACACCGCCCGUCACACCAUGGGAGUGGGUUGCAAAAGAAGUAGGUAGCUUAACCUUCGGGAGGGCGCUUACCACUUUGUGAUUCAUGACUGGGGUGAAGUCGUAACAAGGUAACCGUAGGGGAACCUGCGGUUGGAUCACCUCCUUA